AUUGAACGCUGGCGGCAGGCUUAACACAUGCAAGUCGAGCGGGGAAAGGUAGCUUGCUACCUGACCUAGCGGCGGACGGGUGAGUAAUGCUUAGGAAUCUGCCUAUUAGUGGGGGACAACAUUCCGAAAGGAAUGCUAAUACCGCAUACGCCCUACGGGGGAAAGCAGGGGAUCUUCGGACCUUGCGCUAAUAGAUGAGCCUAAGUCAGAUUAGCUAGUUGGUGGGGUAAAGGCCUACCAAGGCGACGAUCUGUAGCGGGUCUGAGAGGAUGAUCCGCCACACUGGGACUGAGACACGGCCCAGACUCCUACGGGAGGCAGCAGUGGGGAAUAUUGGACAAUGGGCGAAAGCCUGAUCCAGCCAUGCCGCGUGUGUGAAGAAGGCCUUUUGGUUGUAAAGCACUUUAAGCGAGGAGGAGGCUACUUAGAUUAAUACUGCUAGGAUAGUGGACGUUACUCG
This 460-nucleotide ribosomal RNA is filed under the name uncultured bacterium. RNAcentral's name for it is "bacterial SSU rRNA". It matches the Rfam family "Bacterial small subunit ribosomal RNA", at positions 30 to 481 of the family's 1533-position model. The record is from RNAcentral.